CUGAAAUGGAAAAAUCAAUCAAUACAUUGAUUAUUUCUUUGUGUAUCUGCCCCUGGCCAAAUCAAUAAAACAGUGCGUGCACGCUCCCUGAAGUAAUUCACACCAGACACAGGUUCCAGGGUGUUGAAUAACUUGAGGAAUGUUUAUUCAGAGGGGACGGCAGGUCCCAUUUAAAGCAAAAUUACAUCAUAAGCAUUGUCAGAG
Molecule: non-coding RNA, 204 nt
Organism: Pelobates cultripes (western spadefoot toad)
Lineage: Eukaryota; Metazoa; Chordata; Amphibia; Anura; Pelobatidae
Source: the annotation of a GenBank genome assembly